GAUGAACGCUGGCGGCGUGCCUAAUACAUGCCAGUCGAGCGAACAGAUAAGGAGCUUGCUCCUUUGACGUUAGCGGCGGACGGGUGAGUAACACGUGGAUAACCUACCUAUAAGACUGGGAUAACUUCGGGAAACCGGAGCUAAUACCGGAUAACAUAUUGAACCGCAUGGUUCAAUAGUGAAAGGCGGCUUUGCUGUCACUUAUAGAUGGAUCCGCGCCGUAUUAGCUAGUUGGUAUGGUAACGGCUUACCAAGGCAACGAUACGUAGCCGACCUGAGAGGGUGAUCGGCCACACUGGAACUGAGACACGGUCCAGACUCCUACGGGAGGCAGCAGUAGGGAAUCUUCCGCAAUGGGCGAAAGCCUGACGGAGCAACGCCGCGUGAGUGAUGAAGGUCUUCGGAUCGUAAAACUCUGUUAUCAGGGAAGAACAAAUGUGUAAGUAACUGUGCACAUCUUGACGGUACCUGAUCAGAAAGCCACGGCUAACUACGUG
RNAcentral lists this ribosomal RNA (497 nucleotides) under uncultured bacterium. RNAcentral describes it as "partial 16S ribosomal RNA". It matches the Rfam family "Bacterial small subunit ribosomal RNA", at positions 28 to 507 of the family's 1533-position model. The record is from RNAcentral.